AUGACGGCCACUACCUGUUGGAAAACAAGCAUAGAUCAUGUUAGCAUUUGCUUGAAUGUUUCCAUUUGGCUAUCUGUCCGGAGAGUUUGAUAGGCUAUUGUUACAUGCGUAAACGUUCCCAUUUUAGAUACGCGCGUAAUGAACGGUCUAAAUUCACUGUUGGUUUAAUGAUCUGACAGUUCAGGAUAUUUUGUAUGUUGUGUGUAGACAAUGAGCACUUGCAGUUUAUGCAUAUUGCAGUUCAUAAUUUGAUCACCUCAUAUAAAGUUGCAGUUUUGCAGACCUUUGUAUUUAUCUGUGCAACCAAGGUUGGUUAAUCCUUGACAAACCACGACUUAAUUUGUUCAUAUUAAAGUUAUCAGAGUCGUGUGGUGCUUGUAAUAGCCAACGACGUGGUCAUUUGAAUCGCAUACAGACGCAUUUCAUUUCGUCAAGGUAGACUUAUGGCUCAGGGGCAAUAUAUUUUAAUAUCUGGACAAAUACUUUAACAUUUACAUUUACAUUUAAGUCAUUUAGCAGACGCUCUUAUCCAGAGCGACUUACAAAUUGGUGCAUUCACCUUAUUAACCAUUAAUAUCCAAUUAUCGCUUGGUUCAAGCCAUUAAUUAUACACAAUUAUUUUAAUUGGGGUAGGGUGUAAUUAUCACUCGUUCACGUAAUGAAGCGUAACGGAUGCCUUAUGAAGGGAUGUAUUUACUUACUUUCCCUGUGAUCGCAGCAAAAGCGCAAAUCCCCUUUGAAAGCGCUGCGUUGAGAGAUCAUUGCGUUGAUGAAACGCUUUGGAGAUGAUACAACAAGAUGUGUUCCGCGCCGGGAUGGGAACCUGAAAUCACAGAGGUCCCGUGUGGCUCAGUUGGUAGAGCAUGGCACUUGCAAUGCCAGGGAUGUGGGUUUUAUUCCCACGGGGGACCGUGGGAAUAAAGUGUAAGAAGUAAGAAAAUGUAUGCAAAUCGCUCUGAUUAAGAGCGUCUGCUAAAUUACGAAAAUGUAUUAUAUUGAACGGUAAUGAUAGGCUAUUCUGUCAAUACCAAUGCUUUAGCUAGGUCUACUGAAUUAUCUCAUUCGGUUAGCCUAUGAAUUUUAGCAGCCACUUUAGUUCUUUUUAACUAGGCCUACUAUUUGUUGGACCAUGUUGGUUAAUAUUUAGGCUACGUUGUUAACCCGUGUUGCCUCCGCCUCCUUACGUGAAAUUCGCUAAUCAAACACUUUUCUCGUGGCAGGUAGCCUAGAGUGUUGGGCCAGUAACCGAAAGGCUGAUAUAUCGAAUCCCGAGUUGACAAGGUCUAUUUUCAUUGGCCAGUUCUGGAUCUGCGAUACAGAAUCCUCAGAUCCUCAAAAAGUUCUACAGCUGCACCAUCGAGAGCAUCCUGACUGGUUGCAUCACCACCUGGUAUGGCAACUGCUUGGCAUCCGACCACAAGGCGCUACAGAGCGUAGGGCCUAGUACAUCACUGGGGCCAAGCUUCCUACCAUUCAGGACCUCUAUAACAGGCGGUGUCAGAGGAAGGCCCUAAAAAUGGCUAAAGACUCCAGCCAUUAGCCUUGUAUUGUCAUUUUAUUGUGUUACUUUUUUAAACUUUAGUUCAUUUAGUAUAUAUUUUCUUAACUCUUAUUUUUCUUAACUGCAUUUUUGAUUGAAAGUAGGCAUUUCAAUACACCUGUUGUAUUCGGCGCAUGUGACAAAUACGAAUUGAUUUGAUUUGGGGAAGUUCACUACGGGUUACUGGGGGCAAAGAAUAUUUAUAAUAUGAAUGUCUUGAUUUAAAUUAAACCAAAAAAGGUAUAUGUCCAUUAUUAUUAUAUGUCCGUUAUUCGGCUGAUUGAAAAUGUAGGUCGGCCUAUUCAAGUCAUUCAAAUAGUUAGUCGUUUUCGAAAUAUCAUGGUGCUCAAUUGCUCAUUGACUGUAUCUUAAAUCUAUCACCAUAACCUCGAAGAUAAGCUUGAUAUAAGAGCGCAUUGGGACUCAUAUUUACUCCAGUCAAUUUAUACAUAUUCAAUUGUACAUAAGAAUAUUAUACAACAGAAUGAACUGCCUCAAGUCUUGCCCAAGGCUAAGGAGGCUGUGAUAAUUCAAAUUCAGUCAAGAAUUUCAUUUAUCCACACGCAAUUCAAUUUUUUUUUAAAGUGACGCUGCACUUAAUGCAGUCUGUGAUAAGGAUCAACUGGAUGUAUUUAAUUGAAUAUUAACUGUAAUUGCUAACAUGCUUGAGAAGUAAGCUGCAUUGUGUGCACUUGAAGUUCAUUGACUUCAUUACCCUUGACAAUACUUAAUACAAUGUCACUUAAUCACUUAAUCAUGUUAAUUUGUGAUAUAGUAAGACCUUAAAUUAUAUAGUUGUAACCUACACAACAAUGUAAUAGGCCUGGUAAACUGUUAUUUUCUAUUGUUAUUUUAUAAUGUUAGGCCUAUCGAAAUUAUAUUAUGAAUGAUUUUGACAGUUGUAUUAUUACCACGUUUUUUUCAAUAUUUGAUGGCGUUCAAAUACAGAUCUCUAUUAGGCCAUAGCACCAUUACUAAAGAAUGUAUCUGUUUUGUAUCAUUGCGUUUUACUUGUCAUGUAUUGUUGUUUAUAAUAACGUGUAUUUGAAUGUGGAUGUGUAGUUUAAUGUGUAUAUUGUUUUUUGAUGUGCAUUGUUGUGCUAAACAGGGCUCAUCUGGAGGAAAGGAGACGUUGGUCUCAGCAUUGAGUACGUAAAAAUAAAAUAAAUACAAAUGUGUUUUACUAACAAUUAAAUCAAAUGAGUGAAUCAAACACUCCAUCCAAAUAAAUAGGAAUUUGCCUUUUUUCCCCUUUUUGCUUGUAACAAGUCAUAAUCUGAGCAAUAAAAUCAGACCUAUAACACCGUGAA
Molecule: long non-coding RNA, 2850 nt
Organism: Salvelinus fontinalis (brook trout)
Lineage: Eukaryota; Metazoa; Chordata; Actinopteri; Salmoniformes; Salmonidae
Exons: 2
Source: RefSeq, a predicted model, not a curated record